This 497-nucleotide ribosomal RNA is filed under the name uncultured bacterium. RNAcentral's name for it is "partial 16S ribosomal RNA". It matches the Rfam family "Bacterial small subunit ribosomal RNA", at positions 28 to 507 of the family's 1533-position model. The record is from RNAcentral.
GAUGAACGCUGGCGGCGUGCCUAAUACAUGCAAGUCGAGCGAACGGACGAGAAGCUUGCUUCUCUGAUGUUAGCGGCGGACGGGUGAGUAACACGUGGAUAACCUACCUAUAAGACUGGGAUAACUUCGGGAAACCGGAGCUAAUACCGGAUAAUAUUUUGAACCGCAUGGUUCAAAAGUGAAAGACGGUCUUGCUGUCACUUAUAGAUGGAUCCGCGCUGCAUUAGCUAGUUGGUGAGGUAACGGCUUACCAAGGCAACGAUGGAUAGCCGACCUGAGAGGGUGAUCGGCCACACUGGAACUGAGACACGGUCCAGACUCCUACGGGAGGCAGCAGUAGGGAAUCUUCCGCAAUGGGCGAAAGCCUGACGGAGCAACGCCGCGUGAGUGAUGAAGGUCUUCGGAUCGUAAAACUCUGUUAUUAGGGAAGAACAUAUGUGUAAGUAACUGUGCAGAGCUUGACGGUACCUAAUCAGAAAGCCACGGCUAACUACGUG